Molecule: ribosomal RNA, 404 nt
Filed under: uncultured bacterium
Lineage: Bacteria
Description: bacterial SSU rRNA
Rfam family: Bacterial small subunit ribosomal RNA
Source: RNAcentral
AAUCAACGCUGGCGGCGUGCCUAAUACACGCAAGUCGAACGCGAAAGUCCCGCAAGGGGGCAAGUAGAGUGGCAAACGGGUGAGUAACGCGUGGGCGACCUACCUUCGAGUGGGGGGAUAACCUUCCGAAAGGAGGGCUAAUACCGCAUGACAUCCCGUGUUUGGAUACACGGACAUCAAAGUCGGGGAUCGCAAGACCUGACGCUUGGAGAGGGGCCCGCGUCCGAUUAGCUAGUUGGUGGGGUAACGGCCCACCAAGGCUUCGAUCGGUAUCCGGCCUGAGAGGGCGGACGGACACACUGGGACUGAGACACGGCCCAGACUCCUACGGGAGGCAGCAGUGGGGAAUCUUGCGCAAUGGGCGAAAGCCUGACGCAGCGACGCCGCGUGAGGGAUGACGGCCU